UACGGAGGGGGCUAGCGUUGUUCGGAAUUACUGGGCGUAAAGCGCACGUAGGCGGCUGUUCAAGUCAGAGGUGAAAGCCUGGAGCUCAACUUCGGAAUUGCCUUUAAGACUGCAUCACUUGAACGUCGGAGAGGUGAGUGGAAUUCCGAGUGUAGAGGUGAAAUUCGUAGAUAUUCGGAAGAACACCAGUGGCGAAGGCGGCCAACUGGACCAACACUGACGCUGAGGCGCGAAAGCGUGGGGAGCAAACAGG
RNAcentral lists this ribosomal RNA (253 nucleotides) under uncultured bacterium. RNAcentral describes it as "partial 16S ribosomal RNA". It matches the Rfam family "Bacterial small subunit ribosomal RNA", at positions 524 to 776 of the family's 1533-position model. The record is from RNAcentral.